RNAcentral lists this ribosomal RNA (942 nucleotides) under uncultured bacterium. RNAcentral's name for it is "bacterial SSU rRNA". It matches the Rfam family "Bacterial small subunit ribosomal RNA", at positions 24 to 962 of the family's 1533-position model. The record is from RNAcentral.
UCAGAAUCAACGCUGGCGGCGUGCCUAACACAUGCAAGUCGAACGCGAAAAUCCCGCAAGGGAUCUGUAGCGUGGCAAACGGGUGAGUAACACGUGGGUGACCUGCCUUCGAGCGGGGGAUAACGUCCCGAAAGGGACGCUAAUACCGCAUACGAUCUACGGAUGAAAGUGGGGGAUCGCAAGACCUCAUGCUCAUGGAGCGGCCGAUAUCUGAUUAGCUAGUUGGUAGGGUAAAAGCCUACCAAGGCUUCGAUCAGUAGCUGGUCUGAGAGGACGACCAGCCACACUGGAACUGAGACACGGUCCAGACUCCUACGGGAGGCAGCAGUGGGGAAUUUUGGACAAUGGGCGCAAGCCUGAUCCAGCAAUGCCGCGUGAGUGAAGAAGGCCUUCGGGUUGUAAAGCUCUUUUGUCAGGGAAGAAACGGUGGACUCUAAUACAGAUCACUAAUGACGGUACCUGAAGAAUAAGCACCGGCUAACUACGUGCCAGCAGCCGCGGUAAUACGUAGGGUGCAAGCGUUAAUCGGAAUUACUGGGCGUAAAGCGUGCGCAGGCGGUUGUGCAAGACAGAUGUGAAAUCCCCGGGCUCAACCUGGGAAUUGCAUUUGUGACUGCACGGCUAGAGUGUGUCAGAGGGGGGUAGAAUUCCACGUGUAGCAGUGAAAUGCGUAGAGAUGUGGAGGAAUACCGAUGGCGAAGGCAGCCCCCUGGGAUAACACUGACGCUCAUGCACGAAAGCGUGGGGAGCAAACAGGAUUAGAUACCCUGGUAGUCCACGCCCUAAACGAUGUCUACUAGUUGUUGGGUCUUAAUUGACUUAGUAACGCAGCUAACGCGUGAAGUAGACCGCCUGGGGAGUACGGUCGCAAGAUUAAAGCUCAAAGGAAUUGACGGGGACCCGCACAAGCGGUGGAUGAUGUGGAUUAAUUCGAUGCAACGC